Molecule: ribosomal RNA, 253 nt
Filed under: uncultured bacterium
Lineage: Bacteria
Description: partial 16S ribosomal RNA
Rfam family: Bacterial small subunit ribosomal RNA
Source: RNAcentral
UACGUAGGGGGCAAGCGUUGUCCGGAUUUAUUGGGCGUAAAGAGCGUGUAGGCGGCUUUACAGGUCCGUUGUGAAAACUCGAGGCUCAACCUCGAGACGCCGGUGGAAACCGUAAGGCUAGAGUCCGGAAGAGGAGAGUGGAAUUCCCGGUGUAGCGGUGAAAUGCGCAGAUAUCGGGAAGAACACCCGUGGCUAAGGCGGCUCUCUAGUACGGUACUGACGCUGAGACGCGAAAGCGUGGGGAGCGAACAGG